AUAUUAAAGUAGUAUUAGUUAUAUUCUUGAAACUUAAAGAAUUUGGCGGUAUUUUAAUCUAUUUAGAGGAACCUGUCCUGUAAUCGAUAUUCCUCGUUAAAUUUUACUGAAUUUUAUUAUUUGUAUAUCGUUGUCGAAAAAAUAUUUUUAUAAAAUUUAAAUUUUUAAAUAUUAUUAAUAUAAUAGAUGUCAAAUCAAGGUGCAGUUUAUAAUUCAGAAGAGAUGGGUUACAAUAAAAUUAUUUAAGCGGAAUUAUUUUUGAAUUAGGAGUAAUGAAGAUGGAUUUAAAUGUAAAUUUUUUUUAAAAAAAAUAAUUGAUUAAAGCUCUAAAAUAUGU
This 337-nucleotide ribosomal RNA is filed under the name Paractenopsyllus rouxi. RNAcentral describes it as "partial 12S ribosomal RNA". Lineage: Eukaryota; Metazoa; Arthropoda; Insecta; Siphonaptera; Leptopsyllidae. The record is from RNAcentral.